CCACAAAGCACCGGAAGCUAGGGAAAAGACAUGAAACACACAUAGAACAGAUUUUUUUUUUUCCCUCAGCCCCAGAAGGAAGCAAUUCAGCAACACCUGGAUCUUAGACUUCUAGAUACCAGAACGCAUGGACUACCCAGAGAAAGUCACAAUCUCUGGUGAGGCUGCUCUCUGAAACUGAGGCUGAUCAUGGAAGAGCUGCCUGUCGGAGGCUCUCUGCUGACCACGCUCCUGCAGCAGAGCAGUCCUUUCUUGAGGGAGAUCUGGGUGGCACAUAUCCUUGUCUAUCAUACUUAGAUUAACCUGCUAUUUUGAAAAGAAGUGAACUGGGCUUAGAUUCAACGAGAACAGCAGACACACAUUUUGCUAAGGGACUUGAAACAGAUUCUGCUUUUGAAUCGAGGAAGUCGCCAUUCAAGAACAUUAGGCACGAUAGACCUCAAGAUAAUCAUGCUAAGCAAAAUAAGCCAGACAGAAAAAGUUGAAAACCACUUGAUA
This is a long non-coding RNA of Pteropus alecto (black flying fox), 498 nucleotides long. RefSeq lists it as uncharacterized. NCBI's taxonomy places the organism in Eukaryota, Metazoa, Chordata, Mammalia, Chiroptera, Pteropodidae. The record is from RefSeq and is a predicted model, not a curated record. The transcript has 3 exons.